GAGAGUAUAGCUCAAGUGGUAGAGCGGAUGCUUAACAUGCACGAGGUCCUGGGUUCAAUCCCCAGUACCUCCU
Molecule: transfer RNA, 73 nt
Filed under: Camelus bactrianus (Bactrian camel)
Lineage: Eukaryota; Metazoa; Chordata; Mammalia; Artiodactyla; Camelidae
Also listed under: 2 other names
Rfam family: tRNA
About the family: Transfer RNA (tRNA) molecules are approximately 80 nucleotides in length. Their secondary structure includes four short double-helical elements and three loops (D, anti-codon, and T loops). Further hydrogen bonds mediate the characteristic L-shaped molecular structure. tRNAs have two regions of fundamental functional importance: the anti-codon, which is responsible for specific mRNA codon recognition, and the 3' end, to which the tRNAs corresponding amino acid is attached (by aminoacyl-tRNA synthetases). tRNAs cope with the degeneracy of the genetic code in two manners: having more than one tRNA (with a specific anti-codon) for a particular amino acid; and 'wobble' base-pairing, i.e. permitting non-standard base-pairing at the 3rd anti-codon position.
Source: Rfam by way of RNAcentral